Molecule: ribosomal RNA, 464 nt
Filed under: uncultured bacterium
Lineage: Bacteria
Description: partial 16S ribosomal RNA
Rfam family: Bacterial small subunit ribosomal RNA
Source: RNAcentral
GACGAACGCUGGCGGCGUGCUUAACACAUGCAAGUCGAGCGGUAAGGCCUCUUCGGGGGUACACGAGCGGCGAACGGGUGAGUAACACGUGGGUGACCUGCCCUCAGCUCUGGGAUAAGCCUGGGAAACUGGGUCUAAUACCGGAUAUGACCACAUGUUGCAUGGUGUGUGGUGGAAGGUUUUUUCGGCUGGGGAUGGGCCCGCGGCCUAUCAGCUUGUUGGUGGGGUGAUGGCCUACCAAGGCGACGACGGGUAGCCGGCCUGAGAGGGCGACCGGCCACACUGGGACUGAGACACGGCCCAGACUCCUACGGGAGGCAGCAGUGGGGAAUAUUGCGCAAUGGGCGGAAGCCUGACGCAGCGACGCCGCGUGGGGGAUGACGGCCUUCGGGUUGUAAACCUCUUUCGACCGGGACGAAGCGUAAGUGACGGUACCGGUAGAAGAAGCACCGGCCAACUACGUG